Molecule: ribosomal RNA, 744 nt
Filed under: uncultured prokaryote
Description: bacterial SSU rRNA
Rfam family: Bacterial small subunit ribosomal RNA
Source: RNAcentral
GAUGAACGCUGACAGAAUGCUUAACACAUGCAAGUCGAUUCGAUUUACCUUCGGGUAUUGAGGAUGGCGGACGGGUGAGUAACGCGUAAGGAACUUGCCUCUUGGUCUGGGACAACUGUUGGAAACGACAGCUAAUACCGGAUAUUAUGAGAUUCUCGCAUGGGAAACUUAUGAAAGCUAUAUGCGCCAAGAGAGAGCCUUGCGUUCCAUUAGCUAGUUGGUGGGGUAACGGCCCACCAAGGCGACGAUGGAUAGCCGGCCUGAGAGGGUGAACGGCCACAAGGGGACUGAGACACGGCCCUUACUCCUACGGGAGGCAGCAGUGGGGAAUAUUGGACAAUGGACCAAAAGUCUGAUCCAGCAAUUCUGUGUGCACGAUGAAGGUCUUCGGAUUGUAAAGUGCUUUCAGUUGGGAAGAAGAAAGUGACGGUACCAACAGAAGAAGCGACGGCUAAAUACGUGCCAGCAGCCGCGGUAAUACGUAUGUCGCAAGCGUUAUCCGGAUUUAUUGGGCGUAAAGCGCGUCUAGGCGGAAAAAUAAGUCUGAUGUUAAAAUGCGGGGCUCAACUCCGUAUUGCGUUGGAAACUGUUUUUCUAGAGUACUGGAGAGGUGGGCGGAACUACAAGUGUAGAGGUGAAAUUCGUAGAUAUUUGUAGGAAUGCCNAUGGAGAAGUCAGCUCACUGGNCAGAUACUGACGCUAAAGCGCGAAANCGUGGGGAGCAAACAGGAUUAGAUACCCUGG